AUGAGUUAGGGUCUUCUAGGCCCGACCUCCCAACCCUGUGUCUAUCGAAACUUAUGUUGCUUCGGCGUGCUGGUCGUCGGGGGUCGCUAUCGACACGUCGAGACACGCCCCCCCUCGGCCAUGCCCGUCGACAGCCAAUUUGAAAAAUCUUGAAUGAAUCGUGCCUUCUAAGUCUUGACUAAAUAACAA
Molecule: unclassified non-coding RNA, 189 nt
Filed under: uncultured fungus
Lineage: Eukaryota; Fungi
Description: sequence contains ITS1, 5.8S rRNA gene
Source: RNAcentral